RNAcentral lists this long non-coding RNA (691 nucleotides) under Eucalyptus grandis. Its description in RNAcentral is "long non-coding RNA (EGRA_LNC006896)". The record is from RNAcentral. Lineage: Eukaryota; Viridiplantae; Streptophyta; Magnoliopsida; Myrtales; Myrtaceae.
AAUUAUCGCUAGGUUCAUUUAAUUAGAAAUUGCUCGUCAUUAAAAUUAGGCCAUUUGGUUAAUUUAGAUUGCACCUUUAAUUAUUGGACAAUUUUCAUUUCGAAUUUCAUGAAAAAUACCAAAAAGAAUUGUCUUAGAAUUAAUUUUAUUCUCUAGGAUAUAUUGCAUGCUUAUUAAGAAAACGCAAAAACAUCGCAUUAGGCCAUAUUAUCAUGUCAUAUUAUUCCAUGUUAGAUUAGUAGCAUGCAUUGCACAUUGCAUGAUUUUUAUUAAAUAAGUGAAAACAAAAAAAAAAGAAAUUGCGUGUUAAUUAGAAAUCAUAUCUAGGACUGUUGAUGUAAAUUCCGAUCUAACACUGCAGAUGCUUUCGUUGCUAUGAGGUAAGUCCUGCAAUUUAUUCAUCGCUUUCUUGGGUGUUAAAUUGGUGGUUUGCGCACCCGCAUGAACACCUCACAUGUUAGGAAGUUAAAUUAAAAUCAAUCCAAAACUGCCUGCAAAAAAACAUUUUUGAAAAUAAAGGAAUGGUACCGAAAGGGCAUUAGAGAAAUCUAGUGUAACCAAGUCCCCGAACUCACAAUCUCUGGUUCGUAGGAGUGAAGUAAUUCUCCCAUUACUUUACUUGGGUUUCUAAUCGACCCACCAAAAAUAGAUUAGUGGCGACUCCAUGAUAAACAUCAUUUGCAUAUUAAGA